This 1277-nucleotide ribosomal RNA is filed under the name metagenome. Its description in RNAcentral is "bacterial SSU rRNA". It matches the Rfam family "Bacterial small subunit ribosomal RNA", at positions 243 to 1520 of the family's 1533-position model. The record is from RNAcentral.
AGGUAGUUGGUGGGGUAAAAGCCCACCAAGCCAACGAUCUGUAGCUGGUCUGAGAGGACGACCAGCCACACUGGGACUGAGACACGGCCCAGACUCCUACGGGAGGCAGCAGUGGGGAAUUUUGGACAAUGGGCGCAAGCCUGAUCCAGCCAUGCCGCGUGCGGGAAGAAGGCCUUCGGGUUGUAAACCGCUUUUGUCAGGGAAGAAACGCUCUGGGCUAAUACCCUGGGGUAAUGACGGUACCUGAAGAAUAAGCACCGGCUAACUACGUGCCAGCAGCCGCGGUAACACGUAGGGUGCAAGCGUUAAUCGGAAUUACUGGGCGUAAAGCAUGCGCAGGCGGUCUUGCAAGACAGAUGUGAAAUCCCCGGGCUUAACCUGGGAACUGCAUUUGUGACUGCAAGGCUAGAGUAUGGCAGAGGGGGAUGGAAUUCCGCGUAGCAGUGAAAUGCGUAGAUAUGCGGAGGAGCACCGAUGGCGAAGGCAAUCCCCUGGGCCUGUACUGACGCUCAUGCACGAAAGCGUGGGGAGCAAACAGGAUUAGAUACCCUGGUAGUCCACGCCCUAAACGAUGUCAACUGGUUGUUGGGAAGGUUCCUUCUCAGUAACGUAGCUAACGCGUGAAGUUGACCGCCUGGGGAGUACGGCCGCAAGGUUGAAACUCAAGGGAAUUGACGGGGACCCGCACAAGCGGUGGAUGAUGUGGUUUAAUUCGACGCAACGCGAAAAACCUUACCUACCCUUGACAUGUCUGGAAUUUUGCAGAGAUGCGAAAGUGCUCGAAAGAGAACCAGAACACAGGUGCUGCAUGGCCGUCGUCAGCUCGUGUCGUGAGAUGUUGGGUUAAGUCCCGCAACGAGCGCAACCCUUGUCAUUAGUUGCUACGAAAGGGCACUCUAAUGAGACUGCCGGUGACAAACCGGAGGAAGGUGGGGAUGACGUCAGGUCAUCAUGGCCCUUAUGGGUAGGGCUACACACGUCAUACAAUGGCCGGUACAGAGGGCUGCCAACCCGCGAGGGGGAGCCAAUCCCAAAAAACCGGUCGUAGUCCGGAUCGCAGUCUGCAACUCGACUGCGUGAAGUCGGAAUCGCUAGUAAUCGCGGAUCAGCUUGCCGCGGUGAAUACGUUCCCGGGUCUUGUACACACCGCCCGUCACACCAUGGGAGCGGGUUCUGCCAGAAGUAGUUAGCCUAACCGCAAGGGGGGCGAUUACCACGGCAGGGUUCGUGACUGGGGUGAAGUCGGAACAAGGUAGCCGUAUCGGAAGGUGCGGCUG